AUUUACCCGCGUUAGGGAUUGCAGUGAAAAGCCCACAGCCUGACGCUAGGAAGUGCGAGAACUUGUAGCGGAAAGCCCGACCCUUU
Molecule: unclassified non-coding RNA, 86 nt
Filed under: Algibacter pectinivorans
Lineage: Bacteria; Pseudomonadati; Bacteroidota; Flavobacteriia; Flavobacteriales; Flavobacteriaceae
Description: Flavo-1 RNA
Source: RNAcentral